RNAcentral lists this small RNA (575 nucleotides) under Pan troglodytes (chimpanzee). RNAcentral's name for it is "processed transcript". Lineage: Eukaryota; Metazoa; Chordata; Mammalia; Primates; Hominidae. The record is from RNAcentral.
GCUGCCGCCACCACCGUUGCUUCGCGGGCUGGGAGGCCCGGGGUUCCCGGGCGAACAGAGGCUGCGGGUGGGAGCCUUCGCGGGCGCUGCAGAGCGGGCCGGGGGAGGCCGGGAUGGAGCCCCGCGGAGUGGACUGACGCCGCAGGGGCGAGCUAGCCGGCUCCGCGCCUCUCCGCGGGAUCCAGACGCCUCCUGGGGCUGCUGGCGGAGGGUCUGAGGCGGCGCGGCCAUGGCUCACCUCCGGGGAUUUGCCAACCAGCACUCUCGAGUGGACCCUGAGGAGCUCUUCACCAAGCUCGACCGCAUUGGCAAGGGCUCGUUUGGGGAGGUCUACAAGGGCAUCGAUAACCACACGAAGGAGGUGGUGGCCAUCAAGAUCAUCGACCUGGAGGAGGCCGAGGAUGAGAUCGAGGACAUCCAGCAGGAGAUCACUGUCCUCAGCCAGUGCGACAGCCCCUACAUCACCCGCUACUUUGGCUCCUACCUAAAGCAUGCCCUUCCUCUUGCUGCCAAAUGCUGAUGGGUUUGUCUCCGGUCCCAGAGCACCAAGCUGUGGAUCAUCAUGGAGUACCUGG